Molecule: ribosomal RNA, 390 nt
Filed under: uncultured bacterium
Lineage: Bacteria
Description: bacterial SSU rRNA
Rfam family: Bacterial small subunit ribosomal RNA
Source: RNAcentral
AUUGAACGCUGGCGGCAUGCCUUACACAUGCAGGUCGAACGGCAGCACGGGAGCUUGCUCCUGGUGGCGAGUGGCGAACGGGUGAGUAAUACAUCGGAACGUACCCUGAAGUGGGGGAUAACGUAGCGAAAGUUACGCUAAUACCGCAUAUUCUGUGAGCAGGAAAGAGGGGGAUCGCAAGACCUCUUGCUUUAGGAGCGGCCGAUGUCGGAUUAGCUAGUUGGUGAGGUAAAGGCUCACCAAGGCGACGAUCCGUAGCUGGUCUGAGAGGACGACCAGCCACACUGGAACUGAGACACGGUCCAGACUCCUACGGGAGGCAGCAGUGGGGAAUUUUGGACAAUGGGGGGCAACCCUGAUCCAGCCAUUCCGCGUGAGUGAAGAAGGCCU